RNAcentral lists this ribosomal RNA (329 nucleotides) under uncultured Bacillota bacterium. RNAcentral's name for it is "bacterial SSU rRNA". It matches the Rfam family "Bacterial small subunit ribosomal RNA", at positions 28 to 351 of the family's 1533-position model. Lineage: Bacteria; Bacillati; Bacillota. The record is from RNAcentral.
GACGAACGCUGGCGGCGUGCUUAAUACAUGCAAGUUGAGCGGAGCUUUGAGAAAGCUUGCUUUUUCAAAGUCGAGCGGCGGACGGGUGAGUAACGCGUGGGCAACCUGCCCUCUAGUCUGGGACAACAGCUCGAAAGGGCUGCUAACACCGGAUAUGCUCCCACUUCGACAUCGGAGAGGGAGAAAAGUUUACGCUAGAGGAUGGGCCCGCGUUCCAUUUAGCUUGUUGGUGAGGUAACGGCUCACCAAGGCGACGAUGGAUAGCCGACCUGAGAGGGUGACCGGCCACACUGGGACUGAGACACGGCCCAGACUCCUACGGGAGGCUG